AGUGAACGCUGGCGGCAGGCCUAACACAUGCAAGUCGAACGGCAGCACAGGGGAGCUUGCUCCCUGGGUGGCGAGUGGCGGACGGGUGAGGAACACAUCGGAAUCUGCCUAUUUGUGGGGGAUAACCUCGGGAAACCGGGACUAAUACCGCAUACGACCUACGGGUGAAAGCCGGGGACCUUCGGGCCUGGCCCAGAUAGAUGAGCCGAUGUCGGAUUAGCUAGUUGGAGGGGUAAAGGCCGACCAAGGCGACGAUCCGUAGCUGGUCUGAGAGGAUGAUCAGCCACACUGGGACUGAGACACGGCCCAGACUCCUACGGGAGGCAGCAGUGGGGAAUAUUGGACAAUGGGCGAAAGCCUGAUCCAGCCAUGCCGCGUGAGUGAAGAAGGCCCUCGGGUUGUAAAGCUCUUUUGUUGGGAAAGAAAAGCCAUGGGUUAAUACCCUGUGGUUCUGACGGUACCCAAAGAAUAAGCACCGGCUAACUUCGUGCCAGCAGCCGCAGUAA
Molecule: ribosomal RNA, 506 nt
Filed under: uncultured bacterium
Lineage: Bacteria
Description: partial 16S ribosomal RNA
Rfam family: Bacterial small subunit ribosomal RNA
Source: RNAcentral